RNAcentral lists this ribosomal RNA (255 nucleotides) under uncultured bacterium. RNAcentral's name for it is "partial small subunit ribosomal RNA". It matches the Rfam family "Bacterial small subunit ribosomal RNA", at positions 26 to 286 of the family's 1533-position model. The record is from RNAcentral.
AGGACGAACGCUGGCGGCGUGCUUAACACAUGCAAGUCGAGCGGAAAGGCCCUUCGGGGUACUCGAGCGGCGAACGGGUGAGUAACACGUGAGUAAUCUGCCCCUAGCUCUGGGAUAGCUCCGGGAAAACCGGGAUUAAUACCGGAUACGACCACUUUAGACAUCUGUUGUGGUGGAAAGAAUUUUGGCUAGGGAUGAGCUCGCGGCCUAUCAGCUUGUUGGUGGGUAACGGCCUACCAAGGCGACGACGGGUAG